This 72-nucleotide transfer RNA is filed under the name Phrynosoma platyrhinos (Desert horned lizard). RNAcentral describes it as "tRNA-OTHER". Lineage: Eukaryota; Metazoa; Chordata; Lepidosauria; Squamata; Phrynosomatidae. The record is from RNAcentral.
GAUUGCAUGUUGUAGUGGUUUGAGUGUUUGACUAUAACUCUGGAGACCAGGAUUCGAAUCCCUGCUUAGCCA